GGUUACAUAGUUGCCAAAGCAGGUAACCAGUAAAUAACCUGGUAAAAAUGUGAUUGUUUACUUCCGGUGCAGGUUACUUUCUUAUAUGCAAUGAAAUGUAGUGUGAAAUUUUCACUGUAGCACUGGAAAGGAUUAAACUUUAUUCAUGCAAAGUAUUUCUUUGGUUGAAAUAAAGUGUUCACAUGUUCUGAAGAGCAUUCUGUUGAAAAAUCUUAUAUGUGAAUUGGUCUGCAGAUGACACUUCAGCAUUAAAACAAAAGAUAUCAAGUUUUGAUGAAAAAGGAAGGAAGGAGGAAAAAUGGACCAAAACAGACCAAAACAGACCUUCAAAUGAACUCUAAAAGGUGCAAUAAAAUUGUUUAUCAUC
Molecule: long non-coding RNA, 367 nt
Organism: Mytilus trossulus (common blue mussel)
Lineage: Eukaryota; Metazoa; Mollusca; Bivalvia; Mytilida; Mytilidae
Exons: 3
Source: RefSeq, a predicted model, not a curated record